CUUCCGGCAAUGAAAAUGCUUAUUCACCUUGGCUAAGGAACUUAGCAGAAGGUUUGUAUUAGCUACGUAUUUAAAGUGGAAUUGAAGAUUAAGCCAAAUAUUACAGUUUUACAAGCUUAAAACACGGGUAACAUGCUAAACAUUCAACUAUUCUAGUGAAGUACAUCAAGCAUAUCCAAAGAGCUGAACGGACCCAUAUCUUAAAUUAUUUGAUAGAAAAAUCUGCAUUGCAAAAUUUAAGGGUUACCUGGAUCGCAGAAUUACAAAAAUACAGCACUAGAAUGAGCAAGAAUAGCAGCAGAAACAGCAAUUAAGACAGCAGCAACUCAGUGUUAAGAUAACCCAGAAUACUCAACAAGGGUGCUUGAAACUAGUAGCUAACAACUUCAUGAAUUUCCCAAGAGAUUCUUCUAUUUUUCUCAAUGAUUUUUGCACUCUAAGAAACACUCGCUAAGCUCAGAAUUUUCAGCUUACUAUUUGGAUGUUCAGCUACUCUUUUUUACUCUCAAAAUUGUAUUCUUUUUGCUAAGUGUGUAGGAAGUGUAUUUUUUAGAGUCCCAAGAUCUUUUUCAAAUGAGAAAAGAACUCUUCUUUUUAUAGGGGGAGGAAGGAUCUUGGGACAGAUUUGUUUGGCCAAAAAUCUAUCCAAAAUGAUAGAUUUUUGACCAAAAAUCUGUCCAAAACCAGAAUUUUGGUCAAUGAACAGUUAUUCUUACCAAUUGUGGACAGAAUUUUGGAGUAUUGUACUCCAAAACAGUCCGCAACAGUAAAAGCAAUCAAACCAAGAACCCUAUACUCAAGUAUUCUCUUUUCUUUCCCUUUCCUCUUAAUUUCUCAAACCAAAUUCAAAGUUAACUAGUCUACAAAGAGAAACCAGAUUCAAUUUAGUUGAAACAAAUAGUAAUUCGAAUAAGAUUAGUUAAGAGUCAAUUAGUAGGAAUUAAUCAAGACUGAACCAUAUAAUUACCUAUACUACACAACUACUUCAAUCUUAAUCAGGUUAAUUAGAACUAAAAUAGGAUAUUUGAACACACAAACUACUAACUCAAACUAAAACAUGACAAUGUAGGAAAGACAAACUCGAAAACUGCAAUCCAAUAGGUGAUUCAAGCUUGACAACUGAACGAAAUCAAUACAACUCAACCAUACUAACUAAACGAUUGUUCUAGAUUAUUAGAAAGAGCAAUUAUUCAGCUAAUCACAAAGUUAAAUUACAUGUCAAGCUACUGAAACAACAAACAAGAAACUAAACGAAUAUUCUUUGCGAAAUUGAACUACUGCUUCAAACUAGUAAGAUACAAAAAUCAAAUAAUCGAAGCUAAACUUUUAACUACCAAUACUAAUCAAACUUGGACGAUUAUAAUUAAGCAAAAAAAAUCAGAAACGAUAUUAUACGAAGUAGUCGAUCGAUUAUUAUAACUUAAACUUAAACAAAACUAUCAAAUCAAAUAAGAAAAACUAAAAAUCUAAGAAAAGAGAAAGGGAUUAGGAAUUUUACCAAGCUCGAGCACUCGGGUAAUGGCGGGACAGUGGCAGUGGUGGACUCGAGUGAGUGUCUAAUGUCGAUUAUUAUCGAAACCAUGACUCCGGAGAAUUGGAUGCUAGUUUCAAUGACAAUCGACAACAAAAACUCGCUUGAAGACGAUGAGAAGAGAGAAAUGGGAGGCAGUGGCAGUUGAGGGGCGGCAGUGACGGUGGCGGAUCGGCAGUGGGGGUCGCCGGAAUUUUGGGUUAAGACCAAUGCCAAAUGGUCAUUGCUGAGCUCUAUCUAUGUAUGUAAAAAUUAAGUGGAUAAAAGGGCUCAAUAUUCUCAAAUUUAUGAAAAACGUUACAUCUAGGGUUUUGAAUUUUCUUAGAUUUAUGGAGAUUGAGGAGGAUUCGAGGGAUUCAGGGCUUGGAUUAGGGUAGAGGAGGAGGAGAUGAAGAGAUUGACGUUGGUUGGAAGGUUUUUGGCCACCAGAGGACGGCGGCACCACUGUGGGAGACGGGAAGCAGCGGUGGAGGAAGAGAGAGUGAAGAGGGAGAAGCUAAGGUUUGGGGUUAUGGGAGAAAUUG
Molecule: long non-coding RNA, 2055 nt
Filed under: Nicotiana tabacum (common tobacco)
Lineage: Eukaryota; Viridiplantae; Streptophyta; Magnoliopsida; Solanales; Solanaceae
Description: long non-coding RNA (NTAB_LNC013488)
Source: RNAcentral